CCCGCUGAAUUUAAGCAUAUUAGUUAGCAGAGGAAAAGAAACUAACCAGGAUUCCCUCAGUAAUGGCGAGUGAACAAGGAAGAGCCCAGCGCCGAAUCCCCGCCGCGUGCCGUGGCGUGUGAAAUGUGGCGUAGGGGAGACCCACUCCCGGGCGCCGCUCGUGGGGGCCCAAGUCCUUCUGAUUGAGGCCCAGCCCUUGGACAGUGUGUGAGACCGGUAGCAGGCCCGGCCCGCCGGGCCCGGAUCUUCCUGGAGUCCGGUUGCUGGGAAUGCAGCCCAAAGCGGGUGGUAAACUCCAUUUAAGGCUAAAUACUGGCACGAGACUGAUAGCCAGCAAGUACAGUAAGGAAAAGUUGAAAAGAACUUUGAAGAGAGAGUUCAAGAGGGCGUGAAACUGUUAAGAGGUAAACGGGUGUGGUCAGCGCAGUCCUCCCAGAAGAUACAACCCAGAGGCGCACAUUCGGCUGUGCCGGUGAUCCCUGCGGAACUUUCCCACUCCCCUUUCCUCCCGACCCCUCCACCUGGG
RNAcentral lists this non-coding RNA (526 nucleotides) under Rattus norvegicus (Norway rat). Its description in RNAcentral is "Eukaryotic large subunit ribosomal RNA". It matches the Rfam family "Eukaryotic large subunit ribosomal RNA", at positions 24 to 489 of the family's 3401-position model. Lineage: Eukaryota; Metazoa; Chordata; Mammalia; Rodentia; Muridae. The record is from Rfam by way of RNAcentral.